RNAcentral lists this long non-coding RNA (24915 nucleotides) under Nicotiana benthamiana. Its description in RNAcentral is "long non-coding RNA (NBEN_LNC014363)". The record is from RNAcentral. Lineage: Eukaryota; Viridiplantae; Streptophyta; Magnoliopsida; Solanales; Solanaceae.
UACAAUCAAUAGUUCAUGCCAAAAUGAAUUAAAUGUCCAGUUAUUACAAAUAAGAAAGUCCCAAAUAUCCGAAUUAUACAAACCAAGUCAAUCCCUAAAGUUUAGUUGUUGCAACAUGAAAACAGUUCAGAAAUUUAAUUACAAUAAGAUAGUCACCUUAUCAUUACAUACAAAUGAAGUAAAAUGGGAAAAAAUAGGGGAAGGGUUUUGGAUAAGCUGAUACGCCCAUUUCUUCAAACUUGAGAAAAGUUUCAUGUUUAAGCUUCAAUGUAUCAAAUGAACAAAAAUAGGUACCUGUAAUUCAGCAAAAACAGGAGCAUAUGAGUAAAAUGUGAGGAGUCAAUCAAGCAAACAGUUAACCAAUCAAACAGUAGGCCCAAGGUUUCAAUAGGAUGGUGAGAAAUUCCAACUCAAAAAUGAUCAAAUUCAACCACUGAUAGUAUUUUUCAGAUAUGAAAUGAGUAUUUUAGCUCUAGUAUUGAAUAUAAAAGUUCUGGAUCCCUAUCCAAUGCCCCAAAUGGUUCAUUUAAUAGUAAAAUUGUUAGGGCAUCAGGUUUUACUUUGUUUUCAUUUUAGUCCUUAUCCCAAGCUGUAUAUUUGCCUAAGUAGUCCUUCAAUUUCUGACUUGUGCCUCAAGUUUGAGGCUACAUUUAUGCAUUAGUCCUUGCUAGAAAGUUCUAAAAGGUUCCUAUCAGAUUUUUACAAGAAUCCAAUUCCGUUUGUACCCUUAAUUCAUUUCCCUAAAUUACCUACCCCUGAAUUUUGACCCCAGUCAGUUCUUUUAACCCUAGUUCAAUUUCGAUUGACCUUGGUUAGUUCUUUGACCCUAAUUCAGUCACAAUUGACGUUGGUCAAUCAGCUUGGGUCACUAAUAAGCUCAUGAAAGUUCCCUAAGGACAAUACAUAUGAACAUACAUAUGAACAUUGAACCCUAAUCUUAAAUGAACUUAUGGAUAUACAGACAAACAACCAAAAUCAAGAAAUUAAAGAAAUUCAAACUCUUAAACAUGUAAUUACUGAACCUAAUUCGUUAUUAAAAGAAAUCAAACAUUCAAAGCUAAAAAAAUAUGUAAAAUACGAAGGAAAACUUAGCUCUCAUUCUUAUUCUCGUUUUAUUCAAUUCAAUCGGACCUUAGUUCUUCCACAUGGAUUCUAUACACUCUUAGGACGAUGAUAAACAUUUUACAAGCUCUGGGAGGGUUUUUUCAAAGUUCUGAGACUUCAAUAGAUCUCAGAUUUUGAAUUUGAGUGGUUGGGGGUUGUUAUAGACUCAAUGAUGGCAUGGUUAGUGUCAAUAGGGGUCAGGGACUACCUGGAAGAGGUUUGGAUCACUACCAGCGUGUUUGGGAUUUUAGGGUUAACCGUAAUAUUCGAGGGGUUUUAGGAUGAUUUGAGAGAGGUAAUAUACCUGGUUGGAAUGGGGACGGGGAGGUGCCUUAGUGGUGUAAUUUUGGACAGCUUUGGAAUGAGGUCGCCGGAGAUAGGGUUUCCGACCACCUUUAAGGGGAUAUUCGAGACGGAGGGGUUUUAUUUGAGGGAAACUGGUCAUGGGACGGGGUAGAGGAGGUCAUGCUGGUUAAGUGGUGUUAAUUUGGGGUAGUUUGGUUUCCGUCCGCUGCCGUGAGGCGAUUUCCGACGGCAGCAGUAUGGUGGUAGGCCGGUGGUCAAGGGCGGCGACGGGGUGGUCAAUGGGCAGCAUUAGAGUAUGAGGAAGACGGUACGACGAGGGGGGUUUGGUCUCUAGCAUGUAUUAGAGAUGUUGGGACAUAUUUGUAUGGUUUAGGACGGGGUUUAGUAGCCAUUGGAUUGGGGAGAAAUCAAUGGCUGUGAUGAUGGGAGGGGGCUAAAGAUGUCGUUUGGUCUAGCGGGAGUGGACAUGGACUGGCUGGUCGUUUGGGAUGGGUGUGUAUGGAUUUAGAGAAGGAAACAAGUUGGGCCACUCAGGUCUGGACCAAUUGUGGCCAGCCUGAGUGGCUUCCUAUGUAUAUAUAUAUACAUGUAAUGUAUUUUUGUCUUUUUCUUUUAAUUUAAUUAACAAAAAUAAUUUCUAUAUUUACUAGAAAUUCCUAAUAAAAAGAAAACCAUGUUUAAAAAUUAAACCAACAAUAAUGUCGGACAUGUACAUAUAUUUUUGUAUUUUAAUUUGUAAAACAAGUUUAUUUAAUAAUCAAAUCUUGAUUAACCAUAAACACACAGUAAUGAACAUGCACAUGCAAUUGAAUCCAAAAAUUAAAAUCCUAAUAUUUUAAAAGAAAAAAUCCUAAACAUUAAGGGUCCCGUAGGAGUUUGUUUCGACUGGUCAAAAAUCAUAUGCUCACAGUGCUACUCAGGAUGAUUAGGAACCCGAGCCCUAUUGUGUAGCCGUCAGAGGCCGGGGUCGGGGUAGAGAUCGAGGACACGUAUGUGGUGCAUCCAGAGCACUUGCGCGAGCUGCCGCCGAGGCACCACCAGCAGACUAAGUUGAAGCCUAGGCAUCUGGCACACCUACUACUACCACUACUACUCCAGCUCUCCAGGAGACUUUUUCUCAGUUCAUGAGUAUCUACACCACUUUGGCUCAUGCAGGGUUGUUUCUCAUUGUUGUAGCCAUAUCUUAGGUCUGGGGAGGAGCACAGACUGCCGUCGUCCGCACUCCUAAGCAGUGAGUGCACGUUGAGCAGGCUCCCGAGAUUAUUCCUGCAUUGCCUGCAGCGCCAGUUCAGUCCGAGGACAGGUCAGCUGCUUCAGAGGGCCAGAAUUGGAGACUUGAGAGGUCCAAGAAGUAUAAUCCCCUAGUGUUUAGUGGAUUAGCAUCUAACAACGCCUUUGGAUUUCUAGAGGUGUGCCACCGUAUUCUUUGCACUAUGGGCAUAGUAGAGUCUAGCGGGGUUUCCUUUACUGUUUUCAGCUUCGGAGUGCUGCCUAUGAUUGGUGGCGCACUUAUGAGAUAGACAGUCCAGUCAAGGCCGCUUCACUGACUUGGACCCUGUUCUCGGAUAUGUUUAUGAGAGAGUUUGUCCCCUAGAGUGUCAGGGACUCAUGGCACGCAGAGUUUGAGCAUUUGUGCCAAGGUGCUAUGACCGUUUUGGAUUAUGCUAUCCGUUGUAGCGGAUUGUCCAGGCAUUCACUGGCCUUGGUUGGUACAGUCUUGGAGAGAGUUUGAAGGUUCAUCGAGGGUCUUAUCCUACCCAUGAGAUCUAGCAUGGCUCGAGAAUUGGAGAUGGACGUUGCUUAUCAGCAGGUUGUGAGCAUUGCUAGGAGGAUCCAGGGUAUGCUUGCCAGGGAAUGAGCGUAGGGAGAGGCGAAGAGGUCUCGAGAGUCGGGCCACUACUAUUGUGCCUGCACCCCAGCAGUAGGUGAACAUGGUAGGCGUUUUAUGGGUCGCCAUGUUCAUUCAGCUCUUCCAGUAGCCAACAGUGCUCUAGAUCCACCUAUACCUCAGGAGCCUUACUAUGCACCUCCAUUUUCUAGAGCGCCUCCUGCGGGGGUUUUUCCAAAGGUCUUUCCAGCAAACCUAGCCCUAGUCGUUCGUAGAUGCCGUACCAUCCCAUAUCUUGUUUCGAGUGUGGUGAUACAUACCAUAUGGUUAGGGACUGCCCAAGUCUUGGUAGGGGUGCAUCUUCAUCGACUGCUCAGCCACAGCGUGCCCCGUAAAGCUCCCAGGCUAUGGUUACAGCUCCAGUUGCUGCCCCACCUGCUCAGCCAGCUAGGGGUGGAGGCUGGGGAGGUAGAAGUCACCCUUGAAGGGGAGGCCAGGUCAGAUAUCAUGCUCUUCCUGCUCGUGCCGAGGAAUUUGCCUCUGAUUCUAUUAUCACUUGUAUUAUAUUGGUUUGCCAUAGAGAGGCAUCGGUUCUAUUCGAUCCGGGCUCUACUUAUUCGUAUGUGUCUUCUUACUUUGCUCCGCAUUUGGGCGUUCCUCAGGAUUCUUUGAGUGCCCCCCAUCUAUGUUUCUACUCCUGUGGGACAUUCUCCUAUUGUGGACCGUGUUUAUCAGUCAUGUUUGGUUACCAUUCGUAGUUUUGAUACCAGAGCAGAUUUAUUGUUACUCGGUAUGGUUGAUUUUGACAUUAUUUUGGGCAUUGUCUGGUUGUCUCCCUAUUUGUUAUUCUUGAUUUUAAUGAACAAGACCGUGAAGCUGGCUAUUCCAGGUAUUCCGCGUGUUGAAUGAAGUGGUACUUUAGAUCACACUCCCAAUAGACAGGCCAGAUAUUAUGCCCUUCCCCUCAUGCUGAGGCUGUUGUAUCUGAUUCUAUUAUCACAAGUAUUGUGCUGCUUUGUCACAGAGAGGCAUCGGUUGUAUUCGAUCCAGGCUAUGCUUAUUCUUAUAUGUCUUCUUACGUUGCUCUGCAUUUAGGUCUGCCUCGGGAUUCAUUGAAUUCCCCCACUUUGUUUCCACUUCUAUGGGGGAUUGUCUUGUUGUGGAUCGCGUUUAUCGGUCAUGUUUAGUUACUAUUCGUGGUUUUUAGACCAUAGCAGAUUUAUUUUUACUUGGCAUGGUUGAUAUUAACAUUAUUAUUGGCAUGGACUGGUUGUCGCGACUGCCAUUAUGAAAUUCACGCCAAGACCGUGACGCUGGCAAUGCCAGGUAUUCCGCGUGUUGAGUGGAGUGGUACUUUAGAUCACACUUCUAGUAGAGUUAUCUCUUUUAUUAAAGCUCAAUGUAUGGUUGAGAAGGGGUGUGCCGCAUAUUUAGAUUAUGCGAUGGAUCUUAGUGCUAAUACCCCUUAUGUUUAUUCAGUUCCAGUGGAACAGGAUUAUCCUGAUAUGUUUCCAGCUGAUCUUCUAGGCAUGCCGCCUGAUAGAGACAUUGAUUUUGGUAUUGACCUGUUGCCAGGCACUCAGCCCAUUUCCAUUCCUCCGUAUCAUAUGGCUUCUCCUAAGUUGAAGGAAUUGAAGGAUCAGUUGUAGGAAUUGCUUGAUAAGGAUUUUAUUCGACCCACUAUUUAUCCUUUGGGUGCUCCUAUUUUUUUUGUGAAGAAGAAGGAUGGUUCUAUGCGUAUGUGUGUUGAUUAUCGCCAAAUGAACAAGGUUGCAGUGAAGAAUUGUUAUCAUUUGCUUCGUAUUGAUGAUCUGUUUGACCAGCUUCAAGGCACUGAUGUGUUUUCUAAGGUUGAAUAGCGCUCAAAUUACCCUCAGUUGAAGAUUCGGGAGCCAGACAUCCUGAAGACUGCCUUCAGGACUCGGUAUACUCAUUAUGAGUUCCUUGUUAUGUCCUUCGGGCUGACCAAUGCCCUAACAGCUUUUAUUCAUUUGAUCCACAAUGUGUUCAGGCAAUAUCUCGACUCGUUCAUUAUUAUUUUGUAGAUGAUAUUCUGGUGUAUUCCCGGAGUGGAAAGAUCAUAAGCAACACAUGAGGAUCGUGCUUCAGAUCCUGAGAGAGAAGAAGUUAUAAGCGAUGGUCUCACAAUGUGAGUUUUAGUUUGUUCAGUGGCAUUCUUAGGAACGUUAUUUCGAGCAAGGGCAUUCGGGUAGAUCCGAGGAAGAUAGAGGUUCUUCAGAAUUUCCCAGGCCGUCCUUAGCUAUAGAGAUUCGCAGUUUCCUUGGUUUAGCGGGCUACUACCAUCAUUUUGUGAAGGGGUUUUCUCGAUUACGGCUCCUAUGACUAGGUUGACCUAGGAAGGUGCCUAUUUCAGUGGAAAGAGGUGUGUGAGACGAGCUUUCAAAAGCUCAAGAUAGAUUUUAAUACAUCCCUAAUUUUUCAUAUUGCCUACCGGUUCGGGAUCGUAUAUUGUCAACUGUAAUACGUCAAGAGUUGGCCUCGGAGCGGUGUCAAUGCAGGAUGAUAAGGUGAUUGCGUACGUGUCCAUGACUUUGAGUUAGCUGCUAUUUUUCAUGCCUUGAACAUCCGGCGUCAUUAUUUUUAUGGUGUGCCUUGUGAGAUUUAUACUGAUCAUAGGAGUUUGCAGCAUUUGUUCAAGCAGAGAAAACUAAAUUUUGCACCAGAUGAGGUGGUUAGAGUUGCUAAAAUGAUUAUAAUAUUACUAUUCUGUAUCACCCGAGCAAGGCCAAUGUGGUAGCGGAUGCCUUGAGUCGCCGGGUAGAGAGUUUGGGGAGUUUGGCAUAAUUACCAGCUUCAUAGAGGCCUAUGGCGAUGGAUGUUCUGGACUUACCUAGUCAGUUUGUGAGAUUGGAUCGCUUGGAGUCCAAUCGGGUCUUAGCUUGUGUGGUUUCUCGGUCUUCCUUAUUCAAUCACAUCAGGGAGUGGCAAUAUAAUGUCUCUCAUUUACUUGUCUUCAAGGGCACGGUUCAGCAUGGCGAUGCCAAAGAUGUGACCAUUGGAGAUGAUGUGGUAUUGAGGAUGCAGGGAUGGAUUUGUAUGCCUAAUGUAUAUGGACUUCGGGAGUUGAUUUUAAGAUAGGCCUGUAGUUGCGGUAUUCCAUCCAUCUGAGUGCCGCGAAGAUGUUUCAGGAUUUGAGGCAGCACUAUUGGUGGAGGCGGAUGAAAAAGUAUAUAGUUGGAUAUGUAGCUAGAUGCCUCAACUGUCACCAGGUGAAGUAUGAGCACCAGAGACCAGGUGGGUAGCCUUAGUAGGUAGAGAUUCCGGAGUUGAAAUAUGAGAGAAUCACCAUGGCUUUUGUAAUUGCUCUCCGUCGGAGUGCGAAGAAGUUUGAUGCCAUUUGGGUAAUUGUGGAUCGGCUGACCACGUCCACUCAUUUUAUCCCUGUGUGUAAUACUUAUUCAUCAGAGUGGUUGACGGAGAUUUAUAUCCGAGAGAUUGUUCAUCUGCAUGGUACUCCAAUUUUUAUUAUUUCAGACAAUGAUACGUAGUUUACCUCACGGUUCUGGGGAGCCAUUCAGCCGGAGUUGGGUACUCGAGUGGAGUUCAGCACAACAUUUCACCCUCAGAUGGACCAACGGUCCGAGUGCACUAUUCAGAUUCUUGAGGAUAUGCUUCGUGCGUGUGUGAUUGAGUUUAGAUGGUCGAGGGAUCAAUUCUUGACAUUGGCGGACUUUGCUUACAACAACAACUACUAGUCCAGCAUUUAUAUGGCACUGUAUGAGGCCAUGUAUGGUAGGCUAUGUAGAUCUCUAGUGGAUUGGUUUGAGCCAGAUGAGGCUAGGUUAUUGGGCACAGAGUUGGUUGAGGAUGCAUUGGAGAGGGUCUAGGUGAUUCAGGAUAGACUCCUUACGGCCAAGUCUAGAUAGAAACGUUACGCAGACCUGAAGGUUUGUGAUGUUUCAUAUACUGUCGGGGAGUGGGUUUUGCUUUGGGUUUCGCCUAUGAAGAGCUUCAUUAGGUUUGGCAAGGGAGGAAAGUUGAUUAUGAGGUUUAUUGGCCCUUUUAAGAUUUUGAGGCGACUUGGGGAGGUUGCUUAUGAACUUGCCUUACCACCCAGUUUGGCCGAGGUUCAUCGGGUAUUACAUGUUAUGAUGCUUCAGAGGUAUCACGGUGAUCCAUCACACGUGUUGUAUUUCAGUUCAAUCAAGUUGGGUACGGAUCUAUCCUAUGUUAGGGAGGCAAUGGCUAUAAUGGGCAAGUGGUCAGGAAGUUGAGGUCAAAGAACAUCACUUCAUUAAAAGGUUCAGAGGUGGGGUCAGCCGGCUGAGGAGGCGACUUGGGAGACCGAGCGGGAUAUGCGCAGCCGAUACCCUCAUCUUUUCAGUGCUUUGGGUAUUUUCUCUAUUCUCUUUCAAGGAUGAAUGAAUGUUUAAGUGUAGGAGGAUGUGACGAACCGGCUGGUCGUCUUAUGAAUUAAUGCCUCGAUACCCUAUUAACUGGUUCCUCUAAGUUUAUUUCUACUAUUUUUGGUUGCCGGGACGUUCGGUGUUGAGUUUCAAAGAGUUUCGUAACACUUAGUCCCUAAAUGAGAGCUUAAGAGUUGAAAAGUUGUCCGUAGUCGGAACAAUAAGAAGACGACCUCAGAAUGGAAAUCUAAUUGCUCUGUUAGCUUCGUUAGGAGUUUUCAGGGUUUGAAGUGUAUUCGGAAUGCAUUUUGGAAGUCUGUAGCUCAUUAUGCUUGAAAUGCCGAAGUUUGAAUUUUUGAAGUUUCUGGUCCGAUAGUGAGUUUUUGAUUCGAGGGUUGGAAUGGAAUUCCGGAAGUUGCAGUAGCAGCAACAUGCCAUUUGGGAUUUCAGUGCAAAAUUUCAGGUCAUUCAGACAUUUUGGUUAGGUUUUUGAUUGAAAGCGUAUUUUGAUGAAAUUUGAAGUUCCUAGGCUCAAAUCCUUGAUUAAUUCAAGCUUCCGGUGUUGAUUAAUGUGGUUUAAGGAUUGGUACAAGUUUGAAUGAGGAAUAAGGUGUUGUUGGUACUGUUGGUUGAGGUAUUUGGGGCCUCGGGAUGAUUUCGGAUGGUUGACGCGAAGAUCGGAGAAGUGUUGCAGCAGCUGAAGCAUUGCUUCUUCUGGUAUUUUGCAUCUGCGGGUCAGGUUCCGUACAUAUGGCGCUUGAGAGGUGGCUUUAGGUCAUUCCUUCAGGUUCCACAGAAGUGGUUUUGCAUCUUUAGAAGAAGAACCACAGAUGCGUCUCCUGGUCUUUUGAGUGGAAGUCAAACAUGCGACAUAUGUUCCGCGUAAGCGGGAACAUAGAUGUGGUCCCUUGACCGCAGAUGCGGAAUUUACUAGCCAGAAAUAGUUAUUUCGAGGGCUUAGUUUCAUAAGUGAGAAAAAAUAUUAACUUGGAGCUAGCUUGGGAGAUGGCGAUUUUGAGAGUUAUUUGAAGAGGAGAUCAUUAGGUAACUAUUCCUUAUCCCUUUCUCAUUAGAUUCCUUCAAUAUUUAGUUAAUUUCAUCAUCUAAUUUCGAAUUUUCAAUGGAAAAAGGGUAAAGCUUCAUAGACCAAAUUAUUGAGUUUUUGAGUGGGCGUUUGACCUUCGAUUUGGGAGAUUUUUAUAUGGUCAGACUUGGGAGAGUACAAGGGUUAUAAAAAUGUAAAAAUUAUCCGAUUCUGAGAUGUUGGCAUGAGGGAAAUUUUGGUCAUUUUACCUAAUUUUGCGACUUCGGUUUGAAUUAAAUAGUAAAAAAAGUUGCUCGAGAUGUUAUUUACGAUAUGUAAUUGAAUUCCAUUUGGAGUCAGAUACUCGUGGCAAAAGUGUGAUUUCGAGUUGAGUUGGAGUCGGUUCGAGGUAAGUGGCUAACCUUGUAUGGGGGAUUUCCCCCCAUAGGAUAUGAUGUUUGGUAAUUGAAUGCCCUGUACAUGAGGUGACGAGCGCGUACUCGAGCUAAUUGUUAAAAAUCUGGUUUUACUUAAAUAUUUAGAUUGAGUUUCUUUCUUACAUGCUUUAUUUUAUUUGUAGUUAUAGCCUGUGUGAGUUUAGAAAAUUAUGCUUAGUUGAUCUAAAUUGCCUAUUUGCUUAAGUUUCUUUGUUUGUACUACGUGAAGCAUGCUAGGCUUACAACUUCCUAUUGCCUUGUAUUUGUUUGAACUUCAUUGCUAAAUAUCUUCUAGUUGUGGCUGUGUUUUGACAUUGGGACUACAGAUGUACGAUUUUGGUAGCUAUCCCCCUUGUCUAUUUACUUUGGGACUGGGGGUUCGAUUUUUGAUAGAUUCCCUUGCACAGUUAUAUGGAACUACUGGGUAUUUACAUUUGAGACUAGCGGCCGGGGUUCUGAUAGAUCCCUGUGCAUUGAUAGUUUGACUACAAGACGGUAUCCUAGGAGAUCCUUCAGAUAUACACAUAAGAUGGACUACGGGACAAUAUCCCAGGAACUCCUCGGACAGAUUGAUGAAAAAUACUACAGGACGGUAUCCUGGGAGAUCCUCAUUAUUGGUACUGAUAUUGAGUGGCUUUACUUUGUGUUAUCUUAUCCAAUGUGUGUUAAAUUUUUAUUUGUGUAACGUGUCUUACUUCACAGUUAUAUUCCAUUAUUUCUACUUAUUUCAUAUUGUUGUCAGCCUUAUUAUUAUAUUUUAUCUCAGUAGGGCCUUGACCUUUCUCGUCACUACCCAAUCGAGGUUGGGCUUGGCACUUACUGAAUACCGUUGUGGUGUACUCAUUCCCCUCAUGUGGAUGUUUUUCAUGUACAGAUCCAGGUACCUCCACUCAAUUGCACUAUCCUUGAGGCGGGUAGAACUACGGAGACUUUGAGGUACAUCUGCCACAUCCGAAGACCGAAGAGUCUCCUUCUUUAAUCUAUUUGUAGUAUUUAGCCUUUUGUCGUACUCUUGUUGUAGAAAUUUCUGGAGAGUAUACCACUUUACAAUACUUCUAGCUUGUGUUCCCGUGAGUUUCCAGGUUUUUGGGUGAUACUGUAGAGUUCCGCAUUGUUGAGUUGUAUAUGCCGAGCGGCAUUUAUAUACAGUUUUAAUUAAUUAUUCUACAAGUUAUGUCGUUUUUUCACAUUGUUAGGAUUACCUAGUUUAGGGACUAGGUGCAAUCAUGACAUGUUCGUGGAGGGUAAAAUGGGUCGUGAUAACCUCGAUUCCCUAGCCGUCUUUCUUUGCAAAAAUUAGGGCUGCAAUCCCUGAGUUAAGAAUUUUAGACAUAGGGCCUCCAUUCCCUAGUUACCUUUUUACCAUUAUUAGGGCUUCAAUCCCUGAGUUGAGAUUUUAAACGUAGGGUCUGCAUUCCCUAGUCGGCUUUUUAACAACAUUAGGGCUUCAAUCCCUAAGUUGAGUUUUUAGACAUAGGGCCUCCAUUCCCUAGUCAUCUUUUACUAACAUUGGGGUUACAUUCCCUGAGUUUAGUUGAGACAUAGGGCCUUCAUUCCCUAGUGGCACGUUUUUACAACAUUAGGGCUUGAAUACCUGAUUUGAGAUUUUAAGACAUAGGGCCUCCAUUCCCUAUUCGCCUUUUUUGCCAACAUUAGGGCACAAAUCCCUUAGUUGAGAAUUUUAGACACACAGUCUCCCUAGUCGGCUUUUUUGCCAACAUUAGGGAUCCAACUCUUGAGUUAAGAUUUUAGACAUAGCGCCUUUGUUCCCUAGUCGCCUUUUUGCCAGAAUUAGGCCUCCAAUUCCUAAGUUUAUAUAUUUAGACAUAGGGCUCCAACCCUUAUGUUGAGAUUUUUUGCCAUAUGGCCUCCAUUUCCUAGUUACCUUUUUUUCAAACAUUAGGACACCAAUCCUUGAGUUGAGAUUUUAGGCAUAUGACCUCUAUUCCCUAGUCGCCUUUUUUGGCAAACAUUUGGGCUCCAAUCCCUGAGUUGAGAAUUUUCAGAAAUAGGUUCUCCAUUCCCUAGACUCCUUGUUGCCAAUAUUAGGGCUCCAAUGCUUGAGUUGAGAAUAUUAGACAUAGGGCCUCCAUUCCCUAGUCUCCUUUAUGCCAACAUUAGAGCUCCACUCCCUGAGUUGAGAAUUUUAGACAUAGGGCCUCCAUUCCUUAGUCACCUUUUUUUCUAACAUUAGAGCUCCAGUCCAUGAGUUGUAAAUUUUAGACAUAGGGCCUUCAAUCCCUAAUCGCCUUUUUUCCAAUAUUAGGGCUCCAAUCCCAGAGUUGAGAAUUUCUAGACAUAGGGUCUCCAUUCCCGAGUCGUCUUUUUGCCAACAUUAAGGCUCCAUUAACUGAGUUGGGAAUUUUAAACAUGGGCCUCUAUUCUCUAGUCACCUUUUUUCCCAACAUUAGAGCUCCAAUCCUUGAGUUGAGAUUUUAGACAUAAGGCCUCUAUUCCCUAGUCGCCUCUUUUGCCAACAUUAGGAAUCCAAUCCCUGGGUUAAGAACGUUCAGACAUAGGUUCUCCAUUCCCAAAUGUCCUUGUGUCCAAUAUUAGGGCUAUAAUCCCUGAGUUGAGAAUUUUAGACAUAGGGCCUCCAUUCCUAGUUUCCUUUUCGCUUAUAUUAAAGCUCCAAUUCUUGAGCUAAGAAUUUUAGACACAGGGCCUCCAUUCUCUAGUCACCUUUUUUUCAGCAUUAGGGCUCCAAUCCCUGAAUUGAGAAUUUUAGAAAUAAGGCCUCCAUUCCCUAGUCACCUUUUUGUUUGCCAACAAUAGGGCUACAAUCCCUGAGUUGAGAAAUUCUAAAAAUAGGGCCUUCAUUCCCUAGUUGCCUUUUUGCCAACAUUCGCGCUCCAAUCCCUGGGUUGAGAAUUUAGACAAGGACGUCCAUUCCUUAAUCACCUUUUUUGCCAACAUUAUGGCUCCAAUCCCUUAGUUGAGAUUUUAGACAUAGGGUUUCCAAUCCUUAGUCGCCUUUUUUGCGAACAAUACGUCUUCAAUCCUCGAGUUGAGAAUAUUAGACAUAGGGCCUUCCUUCCAUAUUCGUCCUUUUUGCCAAAAUUAGGGCUUUAAUCCCUAAGUUGAGAUAUUUAGACGUAAUACCUCCAUUUCUUAGUGGCACUUUUUGGCAACAUUAGGGCUCCAAUCUCUAAUUUAGACUUUUUAGACAUAAGGCUUCCAUUCUAUUCGUCUUUUUUGCCAACAAAAGUGCUCCAAUCCCUGAGUUGAGAAUUUUAGACAUAGGGCCUUCAUUCCCAGUCAACGUUUUUGCCAACACUAGGGAUCCAAUCCCUGAGUUGGGAUUUCAUACAUAGGGCAUCCGAUCCCUAGUUGCCUUUUCGCCAACAUUAAGCUCCAAUCCCUAAUUUGAUAUAUUUAGACAUAGGGCUCCAAUCCCUAAGUUGAGAUUUUCAGACACAAGGCCUCCAUUUCCUAGUCGCCAUUUUUUCCAACAUUACGGCUCCAAUCCUUAAGUUGAGAUUUUAGACAUAUGGUCUCUAUUCCCUAGUCGCCUUUUUUUCCAACACUAGUCUCUAAGUUGAGAAUUUUCAGACAUAGGUUAUCCAUUCCCUAGUCUCCUUGUUGCCAAUAUUAGGGAUUCAAACUUUGAGUUUAGAAUUUUACACAUAGGGCCAGCAUUCCUUAGUCGCUUUUUUACCAACAUUAAGGCUCCAAUUCCUGAGUUGUGAAUUUUAGACAUAGGACCUCUUCCCUAAUUUUUGACCAACAUUAGGGCUCCAAUCCUUGAGUUGAGAAUUCUAGACAUAGGGCAACCAUUCCCUAGUCGCCUUUUGUUUUUUGCCAACAUUAGGGCUCUAAUCCUUGAGUUGAGAACAUCUAGGCAUAGGGCCUCCAUUCCCUAGUUGCCUUUUUGCCAACAUUAGGGCUACAAUCCCUAAGUUGAGAAUUUUAGACAAGGGCCUCCAUUCUCUAGUCGCUUUUUUUGCCAACAUUAGGGCUCCAGUCCUUGAGUUAAGAUUUCGGACAUAGGGCCUACAUUCCCUAGUCGCAUUUUUUCCAACAUUAGGACUCCAAUCCCUGAGUUAAACUUUUUAAAUAUAGGGCUCCAUUCCCUCUUUCUCUUAUAGGCACACCACUUAUUUUGUCGCUUUUCAGAAAAAAAGAAAAAAAAUAGAAGGUUUAGAUCAUAGUUACAAGUAACUCACAAAAUUUUUCUAGUGAAAACUGGGGCAGAAAAAACUUAGUUCAUUUGUUUGUUUUAGUGUCUGAGCAUGUUUGACCUUGAGGCACAGGAUUCGGGAUGACCAAAAGAAUGAAUCUCAAUCCAGAAUAAAGAAAAGAAGAAAAAAAAAUAAGUGAACAUAAAGGUUAAACGGAAAAAUGUGCGGAAUGCUCAAGAUAUGAUUUGAAGUUACAAGCCUUGCAUGUCCCGCCUUAAUCCAAAGCUGAAGAAAGAACCAAGUAUCAAGAGUAAGAUCGGAGUCCACAGAAAGAACCAGCUAAGACUCAAGAUCAAACUUCAAAAGAUUUAUAGAUCAGAAUUUUGUAACUCAUAAUUGAUAGGAUUAGCUAGCUUAGCUUUUUAUUUUAUUUUUUCAUUUUGGGUGUAAUAAGGAACUCGACAAGUAGUAGCAGAAGCAACAAUAAUGAAACAACUAUCAGGUAGUCUCAUCUCUCGAAACUUCUAGAAGUACACUGACCUGAUUCUUCUAUAGCCAAGGAUAUGUAGGAAACCUUUGAAGCAUGUUUCGGUCAUACUCUUUUCAAAAUACUACUCAUGGAGUUUCAGAUAGGCAAAAAUUCCUCAUAAUUGCUCAUUUUAUAUUUGCCCAAAAUCACUCCGUGUCUUCGUGCAAAAAAUAGGCAGUUGUGAGCACGUAAUUUUUGAGUCACAAGAAUUACUCCUAAAGAAAUUAGAUUUUCCCUUUUAAUUAUUUGUUAUUUUAUGAAUUAUUGUAGUAUUUUUCCUGAUUGUUUGCAUGUUUAAUUUUAUUUAAUUCAUAGAAAUCCAAAAAUUAUGUUGCAUUUGCAUUUAGGUUUUAAUUUUAUAUUUCUUAGAUUAAUUAGUAAUUUAGUAUUUUACAAAAUGGAAAUAUCACCAAAAAUAUCUUAUUUUUGAAUUUUUAUUCUAUAAUUUCGAAUUUUGAUAGUUUUCUUUUAAUUUGGUAUUUAAUUAGUUGUGGUAAUUGCUAUAUAGAUUUAAUUAAUUUAAUUUGGUGGGAUAAUAUAAUUUAAGAAUUUAUUUAGGCUUUACUUUUAAUUUAGGAAAAGGAUAAUAAUUUUGAAAUUGAAAAAGAAAAAAAAAAGAAAACAAAAGAAUUUAAAAGAUUCGGCUCUUUGGGCCAAAUUUAUUUAAAGUCCCCAAGACCAAUUCAAUUACACCCUGAAUCCCAUUAAAACCAACCCAAAACUUGUCCUUACCCGGUCCAGUCCCAUUGUUAACCCAAACGACCUGUUUCAAUCUUGUUUGAUCACAGUCGUUGGAUUUCUAUCAUCCAACAACUCAGAACUGCUCUGUCAUUUACCAUAUAAGUGUCGACAUUAGGGUCAAACCCCCAAAGACCAAAAUUCAUCUCCUUCAUCUCUCUUCUCUUCAGAUACCUUACCCCAAAUCCUAGAGCGCUUCCUUGACUUUUCACCAACUCAGGCCGGAGGCACCACCCCCAAAUCACCUUAAAUCAAUACCAUGAAAUCCCCAUGGUUCCCUCUCCCCAUAUCUCUAAUUAUUUUCCCUUGAAUCACAUUUUUCCCUUUCUAAUCUUAGAUCGAUGUUGAAGCCCUAAAACCCCAAAACAAAAUCCAUACAUGCACGGCUAUUUAUCCGAGUUUUCCUUGUUAUUCAAGGUCAGUAUUACCACAAAAUAAUGUUGUUCGCUUGUUCUCUAUCAAGAACAAGCGAGUGAAAAAAUUUUGGGGUUUAAAUCAAAAUAUCAGUCUCAAAUUUGAGUUUGGUUGGUGAGUUCCUUCGUUCUUUCGUUCAUCUUUGUGCUUUUUCAACUUUCAUUCCUCUACAUAUGUUUUCUUUCCCUUUGGUUAAUUUUCCUGAAACUCCACCAAAGUUUCUAGUUGAUAUGAGUGGUAUUCAUUUGUUCACUUCAGUUUUGUUUUUUUCAAAUCCUAAAAGUUGGUUCUUUCAUUUUUAGUAAUUUUAGUUUUAUUAAUGUUAUAUUUUAAACCUCUUAUUUUGUCCUUUUUUUUAAAUAAAAAUAACUUAGUUUAAUUCUGUAUUAAACAGUCCAUUAGUCUAGGUUUUAGAUUUUUUUUGAAAUCAUUUUGAUAUUUUCUUCCUAUUUGUCAUAAAUUGCCAAAUAUAGUUUGAUUUAUUUUGUUGUUUGGUCUUUGAAGCCGUUUCAAACCUCACUCCAAGGGGUUGAUUAUGUUAUUCGGACAAAAUUGAUCCCACGUUUGGUUUAACCAUUGGGUUAGUUUGACCCUUGACCUAUGAGUUACUGUGGUAAAAAUAGGGAUCCUAAGGGAUAGAAAAAACAGGGAUCCUAAGGAUUAGUUUAGGAAUUUAGGCUAGGGAAUAUUUUUGUAACUGAGAAAGGAAAGCUUUGUAGAAGCUGUCUUUAGGAUUAGAUUGAAAAUCUUAUUUUUACACUAAGGAUACUUAAGCAAAAUUGAAAAUUUCAAAAGGGUAAAAGUGCAAAACUUAGCUCAUUUUUCCUACCUUAAAAGCAUGCCUAUAAAGGCACACUUUCUUAUUGAAUAAGGCAGAAAUUUAGAGAUAGAAAAACAUCAAAAAUUGAAAACGACGGAGCAUUUUCUCUCAAGUAAAAAGCACUAAAAAUUGUUGUAUGUUCUUCUUGGUUUUUGAGUUCUAAUUCCUUUGGUAAAUCAAAGUUUCAAGAGUUAAUAGAAUGGUUCAACCUUGGCUUUUGAAAUCUGGGAAUCGGGUUCAGACAUUGAAGAUGGCUUUUCUUGCUGAUCUCAUACUGUUUCAUUGUAUUGUUUUAAGUUGAUUUCUACUGCUACUGUGUGCUGAUACCUCACUUCUUUUGUUUCCUUUUACUUCCAGGUAUUUCUCUAUUACCAUUGAAAGGAAAGUGAAGUUAUUAAAUUGGUUUUGUGUAUGGAAACAUGAAGUUUAUUGUAAAUGAAAAUAAGCUUGUUUGUGUUUGAAGGUUAAGAUGCAUGUGUUCAUAAGAGUUUUGCAGUUCUUGCCUAUUGUAGGUUAGACUCUGUUAUAGCAUUGAACAAAUAUUUCCUUCCAUUUGCUUACUUUAUUCAUGGUCGUGUAUGGCUAAGGAGUAUAUUCUAGGUCUUGGUGAGGGUAAUAGUGCUGAGGAGUUCUUUCUGGGAAAAGAGAUUAGGGAGCGUGGUGUUUCUUGCACCCGACGCUGCCAUUGAUCUUUCUUCCUGUUUCUUGCCAUUAGCUACUCCUCCAGACCCACCCUUGAAGGCUUAGGAGGUAGCUCUUAUACCGGAUUGGCUCAAAAUUAAAACUGUCUUCAACCCGUUAUCCACCAUUUUGCCAAUGUUGAUAGCUUCAGCAAAUGGUUUACCCAUUGCGGAUAUUAUAUUUUGGAAGUAGUUAGCCUCUUGGGCUUAGAGAAAAACUGUAACCAUUUCAAUAUCAUCCAUCGAAGGCUUUAUCCUGGAGGCCUGCUCACGCCAUUUCACUGUGUACUCUCGAAAGCUUUCUGAGGAUUCCUUCUUUAAGUUUUUUAAGAAAUUCCUUUCCGAAGCAAUAUCAAUGUUGUACUUGAACUUCCAGACAAAAUCUAUAGCAAGAUCAUCCCAGAUGUGCCACCGGGUAUAUCUUGGUCCAUGUACCACUCAGAGACGAUGCCAACAAAACUUUCUCCAAAAUAGGCCAUAAGGAGUUCUUCCUUUCCACCAGCUCCUUGCAGUCGGUUGCAAUAUCUCUUGAGAUGAGAAAUAUGAUCACCGUGACCAUCAUACUUGAGAUGAGUAUUUUGAAUCCCAAUGGUAGAUGCACAUGAGGGAACAUAUAUGAGUUGGCAUACGAUACACUUUUCUUUCCACUCAAUCCUUGUAUGUUUUUAAGACUCUGUUCCAUAUUCCUAAUCUUUCUCGCGAUCCCUUCUUGCUCAGGAAUCUUUGGUGAUCUUUUCUUGCCCCACAAUGAACUCGUAUCGGGGUGGUUGAGAGUAAAAAUAAGUGGGAAAUUAAGGAGGUUCCAUUGGAAAUGAGGGUAUUUGGAAGGUUAAAGUUGUUAGGUAAAAAUUGGGCCUGCGCAAUUUAGGUUGUUCUGUGCCCAAGUAAGGGGGAGCGGUCAAGAUAUUUGAAGCUACACCACACAUUAACACCAGGGGACGAACCUCAUAAGGUGUUCCCACAAAUGAGCUGAGAUAGUUGGGUGUCCUAGUUGUAUGUUUGGUAACUGAUAGGGAUGUGGAGGUACCACUUGCUCAAGGAAAGAUUUCAGGGAAUCCCGGGAUUUCACUUGGUGGCUCUCUUCCAUUUUCCCAAGCAUCUCAAAUUUCCAUUACCCGGAGACACCGGAUUCUGUUUUCUUUGACAGUUUCCGAUUCUGUGGUCGGGAUGCCUGAGAUGGGACUAUCAUCCAUGAUGGUCAUUGUUGGAAAAGUUAUUUUUGAAGACAUUUUGAUGAUCCAUUUCGAUCUCGUAAAGCAUGGAUACGAAGCCAAAUUACCACAAAAAGAAAUCAUCGUUCCAUAAAAACCUGGAUUUUAGGAGUGGCAGCAGCACACAGUUUGUCUGAAACAAAUAACAUAUAGGUAAAUGCAUGUUGGGGGUGUGAUGCACCUAUAUAGUUAAAUAGGUUUCUAUUUGUUUUGCAAUGGCGGUAUGCUUCACCCCGGCUUUACUUACUCUUUCCUUUUCCAUUUCCACUAUUUCCUUCUCAUCUCCUCUUUCUUGCUUACUUUUCUCUUUUCUUUUUCUUUUCUUCUCUCAUUUUUUUUAUUUUCUUAUUUUCUAUUUCUUAUUGACAUUAGUCACAAAAUUAUGACCGUAUCCGCUAAGGAUUUCCCACAUAUCAUGACGCCGUAUGAAUCAGAUCAUUACGUUGUUAAGGAAAAAAUAAAUACGGAAAAUUAAAGAAACAUUUUCUUAUUUUAAUUAAUAAAACUCCUAAACUUCAAUUGCGAAAGAUUAUAAACUACUUAUGUUCUUGGAAUGAAUAUCAUCAAACAGACUCAAAAUAAACCAAAAUAAAGACUUGAUACACGAAAAAUCAGGAAUACAUUAAAUCUUCAAUUCUUAGGGCUCACGGGGCAUCAUUCGGCCUCGCCACGAGCCUAUGUGCGAGACCCCUUUGUAGCUCUCCAAAUCACUUAUUAUCUGGCGGACGAAUGUUAUCACUGUCGCAAAAAAGAUGGUUCGGGUCAUAUCCUCACAUGCUUGGCAUUUUGUGACAAUGUAGUAGGCAAUAUGCCUAAUCCUUUCUCGAAUCCUACCUUUUUCCUGAAUUGGCCUCCCGAUUUGCUGAUUUCUAGCUUCUAACACCUGGGUGUCGUGAUGGUUUAGGUUUUGCAGCAGUUGCAAUUCCUCCUCCAUCCAAGCCAUUAGAGCAUAACAAUGAUCCCUAUCAGCUUUAAAGUUCUUUGCUUGCUUAGCCACCUCAUUCUCAAUGGUUGUUAAUUUUCUUCUGUGGUUAGUGAUUGUCCCUUCAUACUUUCUUAUCAUUUGCUGCACAAACUCUGUCCUCCCUUCUGCAUUCUAUGCCAAUUGGACCAAGACAUAUGCUAAAAUGGCUUCAUAUUUUCCUAAAUCAUCUUUACUCUGAAAUACUUUCCUUCUUAAACUUCUUAUAAGCCUUUCGUCGGCUCGGAUUCUUUCUGGGUUUCUGGCUGCUAUUCUCAGUUUCUGGAAUUGAGCCUUGAGGGCUUAAUUUUUCUAGGUUAACUUUUUCUUUUCCCCUUCAUCUGCAGCAGCUUGGAUACUCUUGGAAAAUUAGAGGUCCUUUAUUUUUUCUUCAAACAUACCUAUUUUAUCCCUAUAGCUUUCUUCUUUUGCAAACCAACCCCACUGCUCUUGUGAUGCCUCGAAAAAUAGAUGGGGUCUUUAGGUCGGCUUCCGGAACCCAAUUUCCCUUAUAUACAAAAACAGGUACCCUGGUGAACCUUCACCUUUAGAUCAAUCACGUACACUGGUAUUUUUCGUCAAGUAUUGACACUCACUCUAUAUUUGGAGGACUGCUUCUUCACGAAGCUUGCCAUCAGAACCAAUCUCGACUACUUGAGCACUAAGAUCUACAUCUUUUGGAACUAUUUGGCAUCACUCCAGCUAUCUCAAAACCCGAUACUGGGCAUAAGGAUGGAUACUCACCCACUAAGAGGAAAUGAGUCCUGGUAGCUGGCAUGUAUACAAUCUUUUCCACAAGAAGCCAUCCAAACGUCCACACUAUUUGGUUUGCAGUGAUAGAACGGAGGUAAGAUACCCAUUCUGUGACACCUUCUGGAAAGCUGAUCCCAUCGACCCUCGUAUCAAAUUUCUCUAUGCGGGUUUUCUCUGUCAACCCAUAUCUCAUGUAUAGAGGAUGAUGGCAUAGAUGUUCAGUCAUCCACAUAUGCAACAACAAUUUGCACCCCUUAAAAAAGUCUCCACCGGCUUUGCAAGCUGUGAGAGUGCGAAAGAUGUCAGCUACUAUCAUGGUUGAGAGGGAGCUUUUGGCGUGAGUAAGCAAAGUGUUGACAACCCCAGCUAUUCGUAUGUCGACAUUUCCAUCUUUCCUAGGAAACACUAGAAGUCCCAAGAAGACUACCAUAAAAGCAAAACAUUUGUUUUCUUCCUAUUUAAGGUUUUUCCCUUUGCUACAAAUUUAGUUUUCUAGAUUGUUAAAUCCUCCUAUGUGAGUGUAUAUCUAGUAUAUAAACUUUGGAGUGAAAAAACUUAAAUCUAGGUUGUGGGUCCCCCUGCUUAUCUUUAAGAAGUCUAGGGAUUUGUGCACAGUGACGGCUCUUGAAACAACUAGGUACUAGUGUCUCAGUGAAACCUCAAACCUCUCGAUAUACCCAGCUAUUUCUUCCAACGUUGGGGUGAGUUCAAAAUCUGAUAAAUGAAACAUGUUGUGAGCCGGGUCCUAGAAUGUAAUUAACGCCUCUAUGAUGUCUCCCUAGGCCUAAUCUUCAACAACCUAGUGAGACCUCUCAAAUAUUGAAUGAUCUUAUCUUGCUGUGAUUUACCUAGAUCAUCCCACCACAUACGCAUCUCAAUAUGGAUCCUGUUCAUCACUGUUAUUGGCAAAUUUUGGCUCGUGCUCAAUCUGCUAUUUUAUUAUGGUGAUUAAGCAAAAAUCGUCAUUCAUUUGACUCGAAAACAAAGCUGACAUUUUUUUUUUCUUCAGACUUUCAUUUCUGAAGUAAAAACCCUACUUUACAAAUACGUCCUUUUAGCACUUCUGGGGAAUUUUAAGGCUUUUCUUGCUAACCGACCAAAAAUUUUAAAAAGAGAUCAUAGGCAGCUAUUCUUCCAAAAAUAGCCUUAUGGCAUCCUUCUGAGACAGUCGGUUAUUUUGACAUGAAUGGCUACACCUUACUUAUUUACAACAAGGUGAUAAAAUUUUGGUUGUUUUUGGGCUAUUUUUUAAAUUUUGCAAAAAAGAAAAAAAAAGUUUGACCCGAUGGGGGUUGCCUACGUAUCCCACACAUAGUUAAAAUAAAACUAGCUUUGUUCGAUCAAAAAAGAAACCCACUAUAAAACAAAAAAAAAUUCUCUUUUUUUUCCGAAUUCCAGCAAAGUGUCAGUUUAUUUUUGACAUUGGUUUUUUGAAAAAAUGGCGAUUAUUUCUCUCAACCCUCAUAUUGACUUUCCUCUUUGCAACUUUUCCUCAAUGAGCCGGUCAACAUACAAAUCCGAAGAAAAAGAAUGCAUUAGUAGCAAGUAAGAUGCAUCAAGAUGGUUUUUUCUUUUCGGGUACACCUAUCCUAAACAGUCCCAACCCUUGUGUUGAGUCUCCAAAGCCAAAUGAAUUUGAUGCAAACAAACGUUCCUACUAGGGAUCCAGCAUGAGGUUGAGUUAUUCUAAUUUCAAAACCUGGGUAUGUGUUCUAGACUGUGUACUCGAGCCAAGAAGGGGGCUAUGUACCGGGAAUCGAAAGGUCAUCCGGCUUACUAACUUGUCCAAGGCUCUUUCUUAUUUCAAGAUAUGACACUAACAUAAUAGGGAGUCUUGACCAGCGAGCACAUCCCCGAAGAUGAGAAGAAAAGGGUUUGGUAGCAGUUUAUAUAUAGUUCAGAUAACAUCAAAGCGGUAAAAGCAUCAUUGAGCACAUUAGGCAAAAACAUAUAAUAAAAUCAGAUAAUAGAUAAAGCAAAUUAUAACAACUAUUCUAAGCCUGAAUUCUUGAACCCUGAACCAAAGUUCUAGGUUUGGGUCCUCAGUAGAGUCGUCAUAGCUGUCACACCUCCUCUUUUACACACCACCACAAAGGAUAGUGUAAGGUAGUUUUCAAUUUAAGUGACAUUAUUCAAAAUUGGAUUAUUUAUUCAAUUCAGAGUCGCCACUUGGGAUAAUUUAUUUUGGUGUCCCAAGUCACCGAUUUAUUUUUGAAUCGGGAAUCGAGGAAAAUUUGACUGUUCUUGUGAAGUCUGCGAAUAAGAAAUUCUGAAUAAGGAAUUCAUUUAACCCCAGGGAAGGCGUUAGGCACCCUUGGAUUCUAUGGUUCUAGCACGGCCGCAUAAACUAUCAUAUUUUGCCAAUUAUCUAAUUUUAAUACAUAUUUUAAAUCUAUGGUAUGAUUUUAACUCUUUAACCGCUUUUAUUCAAUUUUAGGAGAAUUUCUACGUCAUUUAAAAUAUGUCUUCGAUCAUGUCAGAUAAAUGCACCCGUAGUCCGAAAUACAUUUUAUCUAACAUUGAGAUUUUUGUUUUGGUCACAUAAAUGCGCACCCGAGUUUAGGAAGGUAAUUUAUUAAAAUGACGCACCUAAAGCAACUACGUGCUUUCAAGUUUGAGAGGGCCAUUGAAGAUUUUCUAAAUGGCACGCCUCGAUUUCUAAUGAUCAAAACAAAAUUAAUUAAUUGAGGGCCAUGCAAUGAUCAUUUUUGUUUGGCAUGGUUCACUUCAAUUCUAAUUUAAAAAGAUAUUCAAACUAAGCUUUACAGGGAAAUGAACUAUUUGUAUGAUCUAAUAUGGCACACCUCCAAUUUAUUUUAGGGAAUCUAAUUAGUUGAACCUUAAAAUGAAUUUGAAUUUUUACUAUCAUGCUAAAGAAAGGAUUUGGGCCCCCGACCACAUUUGUAUAAGAACAAUGGAAAAGCCCAAGAAUGGUAACUUAUCUAAAUGGCUCCUCAAAUCCAACAUUAUGAAAUUUAGGGGAGGACUACAAAAGAGAAUAAAUUUUUCUACCUAUAUGCGAGUGAACCAAAACAACAAACUGAUCCAAUUGCCUACCUGGGGGCAGUUAGCAUCUCAGUCUUGAAGCAAACAAUUAGGCUCACGUGAGCCCAAAUCACCCCAUAGCACAAAAAACGACUUUUAAUAGAUGGCUGAAACCACAACCCAAUUUCAAUAUUAGUAAAUAAGUCCAAAUCACCUUUUUAGGGAAAGAAGUACAUUGCUAAGCUACAUGUUUAACAAUAUAAUUACAACUUCAACAAAACAUAUUCAUGAUGCUUAAUUUAUAACUCUUAAUUACAUCCAUUUCAACCCAAUGAUUUUAACUCCUGAAAUCUAGCAAAGGACUCCACAGUAGUCAGGAUUCCCAAGGUAAUGAAAAGUCUUUGCUAAUAUAGAUAUCCCUACAGGACUAGUCUGAUUACAUGCUUGGGCAUUAAUUUCAACAAAUUCAACACAAAGCAGAAACUGAAACACUGAUUCCAUAAUGUAACAGAUACAUGUAACUUAGCCUGGGUUUCCUAUUACACUAAGAACAGAUUCCACAAUUCAUUUGAACCAUAGUUCGAUUCAGCCUUUUUAUAGUUCUUCUACUAACAAAUUCCAGAAAUUGGCACUACUAUCUACUCAAAGAGAAAUUUCAAGUAUGAAAAAAGGCAAACACCCAAGACAUGUCGAUUCUAUGUAUUCAUAUGUAAAUUACAACAAGUUCAGCAAUAACCUUAAGAACCAUUCACAAACACAAAUUAAACCUUGACUUCAUUCACCUUAUUCUGCUGGAGUUCAUCAUUUUUACAAAAGUUAGAAAUAUAUUGGAUAUGAAUCAGGAAGAAACAAGUGUGACAAGAAAACUAGGAAUCCGAUUGCUCUUAAAAAAAUAGGGCUACAUUUACAAGCUAGUAAGGCAUAGUAUGCCAUUUAAUCAAGUAAUGCUCUUUUACUUCACAUAUCAAUAGAUUGGGAAAUAACUAGAAAAGAAAAGAAGAUAGAACAAGGAGAGUCAGUAGAAGCAAAACAACACAGCAACAACAAUUCUUAAACAGCACUCAUUUCAAAAUUAGCCGAACCCACCAACAGCUCAAACCAAACUCCACAGAAUCAACUAAACCUUCUAUACUUAGAUUCAAUCCAUUUUAUAAACCUCAAUCAACUAGCACUCAUUUAAAAAUUAGAAAGCUUGAGAAACCAAAAAAAAAAUGGAAAGUGUUUUCUUAAAUUCUGAACCGUUUGUAUUAAUUCAGAUUUUUUUGUCACUUUUUGUUCUAGGUCUAAAAAUCUCCAUUGAGCUUCAAGUAAGGAUGAAUUUAUAGGUCAGGUUUUAAGACUUUAGAAAUGAGCUAAGUUUAGCACCCUAACCCUUUUUAAGGUUUCAUUUUAUGCUUCUUAAUCCCUGAGAUACUGACUUACUUACCAAGUAAGUCCCUUUUUCAGCUUCCAGAAAGCUUCCUAAGGUUGUUACACCCAGAUUCCCUGGGUUAAUUACCCAAAUUAUUUUAGAACCUUGUUAUUACCCCCUAAACCCAAUGGGUCAAGUUGACCGGUUAAUGAAACCAAGAGUGGGUUCAAUUAUGACCCAACGACCCAAAUCAAACUCCCAUUGGGUUAGGUCUGCAAUGGCUUUAAAGCCCAAACAUAGGUGGAAGGAAUCAAAUCAGUCAAAAGGUAAAUACUUGAAAAAUUCAAAGGAAUUAGCUUAUACCAAUCAACUGAUUACACAAAUGAGAAAAAACUAAUCAAGUUAUCCAAAUUGCCCUAAUUAAAUUCACUAGAUGAACAAUUAGAACAAAAACCAUGCCAUUUAGUCAACACAAAUCAAACAAAUCAAGUAAGAUCGUAAAAUAGUCUUGGCAACAAAAGUACAAAAUGAAAAACCAACAAAGACGAAACACACAUAUCCCAAACUUGGCCAAAUAUUUUGUGAAAUUUCAAUUAAGGAAAAAAAAAGGAAAGGAAAGGUACAAUAAAUGAAAAUAGAACAAGAAACAGACCCAAAAAUGAAAUGGAACUCACCGGCUAAACAUGAACUCGAGACCUGACACUCUAACUUCAUCACCAAAUAAGGUUAGUCGCUUGUCCUUUGUCAAACACAAUUGAACAACACUAUUUCGUGACAAAGCCGACUCUGAAAACUAAUGCGGGUUCGAACAAAAAUCAUAUACGCGGAGGUUUAGAUUUAGCUCUUAGAACUUGGAUUUUAGAUUUAAGAUUCAAGCCUCUAUGGGGAGAUUUGAAGGGAAUGUAGUGAGGAUUUCAAACGAGGAGAAUAAAGGGGUUUUGGGGUAUCGAUUUGGUGUCGUUUGGAGGUGCGCCGCCACCGGAGAAAUUGGGCGGCGCUAGUGUUCCGCUUCUUUGAACUAAAAUUUAAAGAGUUUCAAGGGGAUUCGAGUUGAAUGGAUUGGGGAUUUGGGAUGGGGGGUGGAGGAGAUUCAAGCGUGUAUUUUUUGAGGAGAUUCAAGCGUGUAUUUUUUGAGGAGAUUGGCCACCGGGCCGCCGCCGUGGUUGAUUUCCGGCGAGUGGCGUCGGGUAGAGUAAGACGGCGAUGAAUGGGUCUCUAAUGGGUGUGAGGUGAGAGACGAUCAGGGUAGGUGAGUGUUUAGAUACUUUUAUAUUAAACCCUUCCCC